AAGUUUGUAACUGGUUUCUUAAAAGAUCUAUUUAUAGAACUGCUUAUUACUCCUUUAUUCCUCGUCCAAUCUCAAUUUCCUUUUAUAUCCAUCCCUUUUUUACGUCCCUUAUCACUUUUCUACACUUUUUAUCCCGAAUUUCCCAAAGGAAAAAAAGUCGAUUUUCAAACUACGUAAUAUUUUAAUUAUAUUAAAUUAAAUCUUAAAAAAACAUUUAAAUUCUAUAACUCCGGAUCUACUCAACCGAUUUUCAAGCGGUUUUCGUAUAAAUCCCUUAUUUUCUUUCUUCUACCCGACCCCACCCAGAACUCACCCCUUUUCCACCCCUAGCGACUUUUCACCCCCCACCCCCAAAAUUUUUCCUUCAAAAAUUUUGAAAUAAUUACUCCUGUACCGCCUCGUUUUACCCUUUAAAACGAGGUACCCCCCACCCCCCUCACUUUUUUAAAUAAAAAAAAAAAAAAAAAAAAAAAAAAAAAAAAAAAAAAAAAAAAAAAAAAAAAAAAAAAAAAAAAAAAAAACCUAACCUAACCUAACCUAACCUAA
This 546-nucleotide unclassified non-coding RNA is filed under the name Melitaea cinxia (Glanville fritillary). Its description in RNAcentral is "misc RNA ENSMCXG00005006185.1". Lineage: Eukaryota; Metazoa; Arthropoda; Insecta; Lepidoptera; Nymphalidae. The record is from RNAcentral.